This 1869-nucleotide long non-coding RNA is filed under the name Mus musculus (house mouse). RNAcentral's name for it is "long non-coding RNA chr11:105907069-105908938". Lineage: Eukaryota; Metazoa; Chordata; Mammalia; Rodentia; Muridae. The record is from RNAcentral.
GGAAACAUCUAGUCCCAAUUUGUUUUUUGUUUUUUGUUUUUUUUUAACAAAAUAUAACUCCUUCUAUUUUCCUACCCUUUGUCCGGGCUAUAAAACAUAAGGGCUAAGGAGGUAGAUUGGUAAAGUUCUGACCCACAAACAUAGGACCUGUGUUCAGAUCCCUACCACCCACAUUUAAAAAAAGAAAUUGAACACAAUGGCAUACAUCUGUAAUCCCAGCACUAGGGAAGCAGAGACAGGUGAAAUUUAGGAGCUUGCUGGCCUCCAGUCUAGCUCUAAGUUCAGUGAGAGACCCUUUCUCAGGAAAGAAAAGAAAAAGAAAAGAAAAGAAUCAGAUGGAGAGUGUGUCUCAGUCACUGUUCUGUGGACACACCAUGUCCAUGGCGAGUCUUACAAAAGAAGACAUGUAAUGGGAGGUUUGCUUAGAGUUUCAGAGGGCAAGCCUGUUAACUCACCAGGGAGUCUGCUGGCAAGAUGAAGACAGAACAGUAGCCAAGAGCUACACCCUGACCACAAACAGAAAGAGAUUGAGCUUGUCAUGGGCUUUUGAAACCUCUAAGCCUACUCCAGUGACACACUUCCUCCAACAAGACCACACCUCCUAAUCCUUCUAAUGUCAAAGAGCUCUACUCCUUGAUGACUAAGCAUUCAAAUAUAUAAGCCUAUAGACAUCAUCUUUUUCAAACCACAAAAGAGAAUAACUAAGGAAGACACUUGGUAUCAACCUCUGACAACGUACACCUACAUGAGGACACAUCUGCACAUAUACAGACACCAUACACACAGAAUGUAUUUAUUUUUAAUUAAAACAACACAUUUCAGCUAGAUAUGGUAGCAUACACCUGUAAUCCCAGCAUUGGGGAGUUAAAAAGGAACACUGAGUUCAAACCAACCUGGGGUACAUAGAGAGACCUUACCUACCUAUGUAAUAAACCUAUGCAUUUUAAAUGUCGUGGUUAAAUAAAUGUCUGUCUGUUACAAGAUGGACUUUGUAUCUCCAAACUAUUUUUCCUAUUUUACAGUCAAUACAGAAAAUAAAAUACACACCUAGAAUGUUGACUACACCAAAGGUCAUAAAUAAUGGAUAGUAGAAUAGAAAAAAUAACUAAUUUCUUCCUCCUGUGUAUCCUUUAUGUUAUAACUGUUAGAAAAAGACAGUCUGGGGUGGCACUGCACACCAUCCCUAUAACCCCUGACCAGGCAGUCAAGGCCAUCAUUGGCUACAGUAUGCGUCCGGGCUGAGGGAGACCUUCCCAGACCCCUCCCCCAAAUAGUGGAAGAAAGCUGUCUUUUCACACCUGUUUUCUCAUCUUUAAGACCAUCUUACCUUAAACAGUUUUUUCUCUCAUGCUUGCAAAUCUAGUUUUAAAUUUUUAUUAUCUUAAUUAGUUUAAAGAGAAAUAGGAAAUAAAUUAUCCAAAGCCUUCGAUUACAGUUCCCGCCUUUGGUUCUUUAGGUUUGAGAGCACAGGAGUAGAGGUUGACCAAAACUUUCCCCACUGACUUUCUCAACAGAGUCUCUUCUCUAGACUUCUGUCAUACAUAGAGUGGUAGGUUUGUAACUAGGCUGAGAACCUUAGAAAGAGAGACACCUAGAGCAGAGGAGACACUCUAAGAAUAGGAAAGAUGAAACCAGAUGAAUUGGACCAAAGUGAUUUUUUCAGUGAAUUUAUUAUUAUGAUUGGCCCCAGAUAGUGUGAGCUCUUUUAAAUGUCUUUAUUAUUUUUCUUCAAAAAUAUCCUUUCUGGAAAAGGCAGCUUGUUCUUGAAGGUAAAGUGAUUAUAUUCAUAAUUAUAUAAUCAGACACACUAAUUUACUGUGUUUGCAUUAAACAAAGCAUUUAGAAACACAUUAAUCCAUGCUUAACAUU